GGGUGGUUAGCUCAGUUGGAUAGAGUAGGUGCCUACGAAGCACCAGGUCAUAGGUUCGAGUCCUGUACCACCCUCCA
Molecule: transfer RNA, 77 nt
Filed under: Oscillospiraceae bacterium
Lineage: Bacteria; Bacillati; Bacillota; Clostridia; Eubacteriales; Oscillospiraceae
Description: tRNA-Arg
Rfam family: tRNA
About the family: Transfer RNA (tRNA) molecules are approximately 80 nucleotides in length. Their secondary structure includes four short double-helical elements and three loops (D, anti-codon, and T loops).
Source: RNAcentral